Molecule: ribosomal RNA, 253 nt
Filed under: uncultured bacterium
Lineage: Bacteria
Description: partial 16S ribosomal RNA
Rfam family: Bacterial small subunit ribosomal RNA
Source: RNAcentral
UACGGAGGGUGCAAGCGUUAAUCGGAAUUACUGGGCGUAAAGGGUGCGUAGGUUGUUAAUUGAGUUAUCUGUGAAAUCCCCGGGCUUAACCUGGGCAGGUCAGAUAAUACUGGUUAACUAGAGUAUGGGAGAGGAUAGUGGAAUUUCAGGUGUAGCGGUGAAAUGCGUAGAGAUCUGAAGGAACACCAGUGGCGAAGGCGGCUAUCUGGCCCAAUACUGACACUGAGGCACGAAAGCGUGGGUAGCGAACAGG